CUGCCCCGGUGGCCGAAUGGGUAAUGCGGCCACCUGGUAGCGCCUUGGCGUGGGGACCCAAGGCGCGUGGGUUCGAAACCCGCAGGGGACAACAUUACAUCCGGAGCCAACUUCUCAGCUCCUAAAAUAAUGGGAUGUGAACCUGCCAAGUAGGUACCUUCGGGCGGACCUACUACUUGAUUUAGCUGAUUUUUCCUGGGCUGGGAACCUGUAUUGCAUGUACCAAAUCCUGUCUUUCAUUAAUUUUCCUAUGUUCCUGUUAUAUUCUUGGCGUUGUUCAACACUAAGCAUUCCUCCUGUAUAACCAACUCUUGCCUGUAUUUAACAUCACACAAGGACUCGUCAUAAGCACUGCUUGCAUACGAGUAUAACGGAAGAAUAAUAAUAAUAAUAAU
RNAcentral lists this small RNA (395 nucleotides) under Histoplasma capsulatum var. duboisii H88. RNAcentral describes it as "Histoplasma capsulatum H88 hypothetical RNA". The record is from RNAcentral. Lineage: Eukaryota; Fungi; Ascomycota; Eurotiomycetes; Onygenales; Ajellomycetaceae.